This 497-nucleotide ribosomal RNA is filed under the name uncultured bacterium. Its description in RNAcentral is "partial 16S ribosomal RNA". It matches the Rfam family "Bacterial small subunit ribosomal RNA", at positions 28 to 507 of the family's 1533-position model. The record is from RNAcentral.
GAUGAACGCUGGCGGCGUGCCUAAUACAUGCAAGUCGAGCGGACAGACGAGGAGCUUGCUCCUCUGCCGUUAGCGGCGGACGGGUGAGUAACACGUAGAUAACCUACCUAUAAGACUGGGAUAACUUCGGGAAACCGGAGCUAAUACCGGAUAAUAUAUUGAACCGGAUGGUUCAAUAGAGAAAGAGGGUUUUGCUGUCACUAAUAGAUGGUUCCGCGUCGGAUUAGCUAGUUGGUAAGGUAACGGCCUACCAAGGCGACGAUGCGUAGCCGACCUGAGAGGGUGAUCGGCCACACUGGAACUGAGACACGGUCCAGACUCCUACGGGAGGCAGCAGUGGGGAAUCUUGCACAAUGGGCGAAAGCCUGACGGAGCAACGCCGCGUGAGUGAUGAAGGUCUUCGGAUCGUAAAGCUCUUUUAUUAGGGAAGAACAAAUGUGUAAGAAACUAUGCCCGUCUUGACGGUACCUAAACAGAAAGCCACGGCUAACUACGUG